Molecule: ribosomal RNA, 253 nt
Filed under: uncultured bacterium
Lineage: Bacteria
Description: partial 16S ribosomal RNA
Rfam family: Archaeal small subunit ribosomal RNA
Source: RNAcentral
UACCAGCACCCCGAGUGGUCGGGACGAUUAUUGGGCCUAAAGCAUCCGUAGCCGGUUCUACAAGUCUUCCGUUAAAUCCACCUGCUCAACAGAUGGGCUGCGGAGGAUACUAUAGAGCUAGGAGGCGGGAGAGGCAAGCGGUACUUAGUGGGUAGGGGUAAAAUCCGUUGAUCCAUUGAAGACCACCAGUGGCGAAGGCGGCUUGCCAGAAUGCGCUCGACGGUGAGGGAUGAAAGCUGGGGGAGCAAACCGG